Molecule: ribosomal RNA, 494 nt
Filed under: uncultured bacterium
Lineage: Bacteria
Description: partial 16S ribosomal RNA
Rfam family: Bacterial small subunit ribosomal RNA
Source: RNAcentral
GACGAACGCUGGCGGCGUGCUUAACACAUGCAAGUCGAACGGUGAAGCGCCUUCCUUUUUGGUGGGUGUGGAUGAGUGGCGAACGGGUGAGUAACACGUGAGUAACCUGCCCCCUUCUUCUGGAUAACCGCAUGAAAGUGUGGCUAAUACGGGAUAUUCUGGGUCUGUCGCAUGAUGGGUCUGGGAAAGAUAUUGUUUCGGUGGGGGAUGGGCUCGCGGCCUAUCAGCUUGUUGGUGGGGUGAUGGCCUACCAAGGCAGUGACGGGUAGCCGGCCUGAGAGGGUGGACGGUCACACUGGGACUGAGACACGGCCCAGACUCCUACGGGAGGCAGCAGUGGGGAAUAUUGCACAAUGGGCGCAAGCCUGAUGCAGCGACGCCGCGUGAGGGAUGGAGGCCUUCGGGUUGUGAACCUCUUUCGCCAGUGAAGCAGGCCUGCCUCGUUUGUGGGUGGGUUGACGGUAGCUGGAUAAGAAGCGCCGGCUAACUACGUG